RNAcentral lists this unclassified non-coding RNA (385 nucleotides) under uncultured Tepidisphaerales bacterium. RNAcentral describes it as "contains 16S-23S intergenic spacer region". The record is from RNAcentral. Lineage: Bacteria; Pseudomonadati; Planctomycetota; Phycisphaerae; Tepidisphaerales.
UCCGGUUUGACACCGGCAGUCCCCUUAGAGUCCCCGGCAUAACCCGCUGGUAACUAAGGGCAAAGGUUUCGCUCGUUAAGGGACUUAACCCGACAUCUCACGACACGAGCUGACGACAGCCAUGCAGCACCUGUACCAGUUCCACCCCGAAGGGCGUACCCCACUUUCAUGGGGAUAAUCCUGGCAUGUCAAGCCCAGGUAAGGUUCUGCGCGUUGCUUCGAAUUGAACCACAUGCUCCACCGCUUGUGUGAGCCCCCGUCAAUUCCUUUGAGUUUUAGCCUUGCGACCGUACUUCCCAGGCGGUCUACUUAGCACUUUUGCUUCGACCGCAACUUCAUCAGAUGAAGCUGCGAUCUAGUAGACAUCGUUUACGGCCAGGACUAC